This 72-nucleotide transfer RNA is filed under the name Nitzschia ovalis. RNAcentral describes it as "tRNA-Gln". It matches the Rfam family "tRNA". From Rfam's summary of the family: Transfer RNA (tRNA) molecules are approximately 80 nucleotides in length. The record is from RNAcentral. Lineage: Eukaryota; Bacillariophyta; Bacillariophyceae; Bacillariales; Bacillariaceae. RNAcentral also lists the same sequence under 3 other names.
UGGGGUGUCGCCAAGUGGUAAGGCUGUGGACUUUGACUCCACCAUUCGUAGGUUCGAAUCCUGCCACCCCAG